This is a non-coding RNA of Phrynosoma platyrhinos (Desert horned lizard), 71 nucleotides long. Lineage: Eukaryota; Metazoa; Chordata; Lepidosauria; Squamata; Phrynosomatidae. The record is from the annotation of a GenBank genome assembly.
GUCAGUGUGGUUUAGUGGCUUGAGUGUUGGUCUAGGACCCCAGAGACCAGGGUUGAAACCCUGCUCAGCCA